UUGUUAAUAUCCCAUUGGCCAGUGCA
Molecule: non-coding RNA, 26 nt
Filed under: Homo sapiens (human)
Lineage: Eukaryota; Metazoa; Chordata; Mammalia; Primates; Hominidae
Source: RNAcentral